AUCCAGCUGACGAGUCCCAAAUAGGACGAAACACACGUCAAGCUGGAU
Molecule: non-coding RNA, 48 nt
Filed under: Schistosoma mansoni
Lineage: Eukaryota; Metazoa; Platyhelminthes; Trematoda; Strigeidida; Schistosomatidae
Source: RNAcentral